Octopus bimaculoides (California two-spot octopus) is the source of this 391-nucleotide long non-coding RNA. RefSeq lists it as uncharacterized. Lineage: Eukaryota; Metazoa; Mollusca; Cephalopoda; Octopoda; Octopodidae. The record is from RefSeq and is a predicted model, not a curated record.
CAAAAAACCAAAUGAAUAGAUAUUUCCGAAAUUCAAAUAGUAAAACAUAUCGAUGUGUAAAUGUUACGUGGCUUGAUAUUUCUAGGUAUUGUAAAGUUGCUCACUCGUGAUUUCAAUUCGAAUGAAAGUGUUUCAUUAUGAAUUCAGGAAUUAGGUAUUAAUGGUAAUUCUCAGUGAAGUGUUGAAACGAGCAGAAAGAGAAAUGUGAUAAACUAAAUAUCCUGCAUUCCGUGGAGAGUCACUUUGCCAUUAAUCCUUGCAAGUAUGCUAAAAUGUGUCUCAACCAAAAGCUUGAUUAAAUCAUUUGAUUAAAUCAUGUCCAGCACAGAUUGCUGUAAUGUUAAUGGUAUGGCAGGAUCAGUAAAAUGAAUAAAACGAUUUCAGUAAUUCA